This 75-nucleotide transfer RNA is filed under the name Eubacterium sp. RNAcentral describes it as "tRNA-Asn". It matches the Rfam family "tRNA". From Rfam's summary of the family: Transfer RNA (tRNA) molecules are approximately 80 nucleotides in length. Their secondary structure includes four short double-helical elements and three loops (D, anti-codon, and T loops). Lineage: Bacteria; Bacillati; Bacillota; Clostridia; Eubacteriales; Eubacteriaceae. The record is from RNAcentral.
GGACAUGUAGCUCAGUUGGUUUAGAGCAUACGGCUGUUAACCGUAGUGUCGUGAGUUCGAAUCUCACCUUGUCCG